RNAcentral lists this ribosomal RNA (405 nucleotides) under Triticum aestivum (bread wheat). RNAcentral describes it as "partial small subunit ribosomal RNA". The record is from RNAcentral. Lineage: Eukaryota; Viridiplantae; Streptophyta; Magnoliopsida; Poales; Poaceae.
AUGGUGUACCACAACUUCGAUUCUGUAGAAGACGACCGACAUAACUACUAUCAACCAGAAUUCCUAAACACCCUAACCCCAAAUGGACUGCCUCCACAUAUGCCGAAGCUAAUUUUUUUUCCAAUAAUACUACUCAGGAACAUCGACCCUGCUAAUGGGCUCUGCAACGGCACCAGACUAGUCGUACGUGGAUUUCAGAAAAAUGCAAUUGAUGCAGAGAUUGUGGUAGGGCAGCACUCUGGAGUGCGAGUUUUCUUGCCUCGGAUACCAUUAUGCCCAUCUGACAACAACAUGUUCCUGUUCAGUUUCAAGAGAAAAACAAUUUCCAGUCAGACUCAGUUUUGCAAUGACAAUAAACAAAUUACAAGGCUAGACAAUACCAACUGUCGGUGUCUACCUGCCUGA